Molecule: long non-coding RNA, 385 nt
Organism: Homo sapiens (human)
Lineage: Eukaryota; Metazoa; Chordata; Mammalia; Primates; Hominidae
Source: Ensembl
UUUGUUAAGUAAACUGGCUCACACAAUUGUGGAGGCUGGAAAGUCCCAAGACAGGCUUUCUGCAAGUUGGAGACCCUGGGAUGCUGAUAGCGUGGCUCCAGCCAAGUCUGAAGGCCUCAGAACCUGGGAAGCCAGUGGUGUAACUCUCAGUCUGAGGCUGAAGGCCUGAAAACCCAGGAAGCCACUGGUGGCCCCAGCAGAUUGGAUGGUGCUUACCCACACCGAGGGUGGAUCUUCCUCCACUACUCCACUCAGAUGCCGUCUAAAAUUAACCAUCACAUUUGUUUAGGCUUAUUGCAAAUGUAGGGAACAGUGACAGAUGAAACCAGAGGUAGCACUGUAGUUAGGCACUUUUGUACACAAGUAAACAGACAUGCCCAGGUUA